Molecule: small nuclear RNA, 184 nt
Organism: Cyprinus carpio carpio
Lineage: Eukaryota; Metazoa; Chordata; Actinopteri; Cypriniformes; Cyprinidae
Gene: U4
Rfam family: U4 spliceosomal RNA
About the family: U4 small nuclear RNA (U4 snRNA) is a component of the major U2-dependent spliceosome. The structure of U4 snRNA from yeast and human has been reported.
Source: Ensembl
AUUCUUUCACAGAGGCAAUAUCGUAGCCUAUGAGGUUCAUCCGAGGUGCGAUCAUUGCUGGUUGUAAAUUUUAAGUGGCAGUCAUGGCCUAAUGGUUAGAGAGUCAGCCUUGUAACCCAAAAGUCGCGGGUUUGUGUCUCAGUACCGGCAGGGAUUUUUGGUAAAGGAAAUGAGGCGCUCUCUU